RNAcentral lists this ribosomal RNA (657 nucleotides) under uncultured Spartobacteria bacterium. RNAcentral's name for it is "bacterial SSU rRNA". It matches the Rfam family "Bacterial small subunit ribosomal RNA", at positions 452 to 1104 of the family's 1533-position model. Lineage: Bacteria; Pseudomonadati; Verrucomicrobiota; Spartobacteria. The record is from RNAcentral.
CGUUAACUGCGUGUGCAUUGAUAGUACCCGAAGAGGAAGAGACGGCUAACUCUGUGCCAGCAGCCGCGGUAAUACAGAGGUCUCAAGCGUUGUUCGGAUUCAUUGGGCGUAAAGGGUGCGUAGGCGGCGCGGUAAGUCGGGUGUGAAAUCUCGGAGCUUAACUCCGAAACUGCAUUCGAUACUGCCGUGCUUGAGGACUGGAGAGGAGACUGGAAUUUACGGUGUAGCGGUGAAAUGCGUAGAUAUCGUAAGGAAGACCAGUGGCGAAGGCGGGUCUCUGGACAGUUCCUGACGCUGAGGCACGAAGGUCAGGGGAGCAAACGGGAUUAGAUACCCCGGUAGUCCUGACAGUAAACGGUGCACGUUUGGUGUGGGAGGAUUCGACCCCUUCUGCGCCGGAGCUAACGCGUUAAACGUGCCGCCUGGGGAGUACGGUCGCAAGAUUAAAACUCAAAGAAAUUGACGGGGGCCCGCACAAGCGGUGGAGUAUGUGACCCAAUUCGAUGCAACGCGAAGAACCUUACCAGGCCUUGACAUGCAUCUCUAAGUUGGUGAAAGCCAGCGAGUCCCGAAAGGGACAAUUUGCACAGGUGCUGCAUGGCUGUCGUCAGCUCGUGUCGUGAGAUGUUGGGUUAAGUCCCGCAACGAGCGCAACCC